Molecule: non-coding RNA, 78 nt
Organism: Paramuricea clavata
Lineage: Eukaryota; Metazoa; Cnidaria; Anthozoa; Malacalcyonacea; Plexauridae
Source: the annotation of a GenBank genome assembly
GGCCUUGUAUAGCUCAGAAGGUAGAGCGUAUAGCUCUAGAAAUGCGAACGUCGUGGGUUCGAUUCCCAGCCGUGGUCA